GCAUCCUACGGGACGCAGCAGUGGGGGAUAUUGCACAAUGGGGGAAACCCUGAUGCAGCGACGCCGCGUGGGCGAAGAAGUAUUUCGGUAUGUAAAGCCCUAUCAGCAGGGAAGAAGAAAGACGGUACCUGACUAAGAAGCCCCGGCUAACUACGUGCCAGCAGCCGCGGUAAUACGUAGGGGGCAAGCGUUAUCCGGAUUUACUGGGUGUAAAGGGAGCGUAGACGGCAUAGCAAGUCUGAAGUGAAAGCCCGUGGCUCAACCGCGGAACUGCUUUGGAAACUGUUAAGCUGGAGUACUGGAGG
This 305-nucleotide ribosomal RNA is filed under the name uncultured bacterium. RNAcentral describes it as "bacterial SSU rRNA". It matches the Rfam family "Bacterial small subunit ribosomal RNA", at positions 334 to 655 of the family's 1533-position model. The record is from RNAcentral.